Molecule: long non-coding RNA, 1611 nt
Organism: Equus caballus (horse)
Lineage: Eukaryota; Metazoa; Chordata; Mammalia; Perissodactyla; Equidae
Source: Ensembl
AGAAGUGUUGUUGCAUUGAGAUUCUUGCAAGUACUGAAAUUCCCUGUAAAAUGUACAUCUAUUUCUCUCUUCUGUGGUUUUUUUCAGGUGGACCUCAUCUGAUCAGUUGAAGUCUUGAAUAGAAUAAAAAGACUGACCCUCCCUUGAGUAAGAGGGAAUCUCGCCUGCCUGCCUUCAAACUGGGACAUUGGUUUUUUUCCUGCCUUUAGACUCAAACUGAUCAUUGGCUCUUUGUGGGAUUCACGCCUGGCAGCCUUUGGACUGGAAAUACACCAUCAGCUCUCCGGGUCUCCAGCUUGCCAGCCCACCCUGCAGAUCGUGGGACUUGUUGGCCUCCACAAUCAUGUGAACUAAUUCCUUAUAAUAAGUCUCUUUCUGUAUAUAUAUAUAUUUUUUAUUGGUUCUCUUUCUCUGGGGGAUCUUGAUUAAUUCGGAAGGUGAAAGGUGCAUCUGUUGGGUCUACUGCUUUCUCUGGCCAGCACACUGUGGUAGGCAGAAUUCUCAAAACAGCCCCCGAGGUCCACACCCUAAUCCUGAGAACCUGUGAAUGGGCUGAGAUCCCACUCCUGUGAUGCUCUGGUGCUAUGUGGCUCACUGGAUCUUAAAAUAGAGAGAUUGUCCAGGUGGCCCUAAUCUUAUCACAUAAACCCGGCUAAAGGCAGAGAGUUUUCUCUGGUUGGAAGUGUAGUGGAAGUCAGAGGAUUAGCGUGAGAGGGAGUCUAGAUGAGGGGUCUUGCCACAGGCUGUGAUGCUGUGAUGGGGCCUGGAAGGAAGCCUCUGGAAGGAACUGUGGAUGGCCCAUAGAAGUUGAGAGUGACUCCUGGCCAACAGUCAGGAGACAAAGACCUCAGUCCUACAACUGCAAGGGACUGAAUUCUGCCAAACCUGAGUGAGCUUGGAAGCAGAUUUUCCACACAGCCUGCAGAGGAGCACCCAGCCUGCUGACAUCUUGACUUCUGCCUGGAGAGACCCUAAGCGGAGAACCCAGGAGGACCCACCUGGACUUUGGACCUAUAGGAUUGGGAUAAUAAGUGGGUAUUGUUUUAAGAGCCAGUGGUAAUUUGUUACACAGAGUAGAAAACUGAUGCACAUAGACAAAGAGAUGUGGCUUCCUAUGGCAGCACUAGCAGAGAUUUAGGGGUGAGUCAUUGGUGUCAAGAGGCAGGCUGUAGGACGUCUGUUUCAGCUGGCAUAGACCUAGCAGGUAUAGUGACUCUGGAGCCAACAGUGCCAGUGGUGGCCUUCCUGUUUCCAGCUUUCCCAUUGUGGCAGAGGUUGGGGUUACUCUGGUAGGACAAUUCUACUGUGUUGUCCUUGGAUUCCAGGAGUGCCGUCUAGACUGUACUUAUCCAGCCCUUCUAAUGGUUUUGAGCACCCAAUUCCUCAUAUUAAAUCACUGCUUAAAUAUAAGAUACUCUGUUAUAUGCUACUGAACCUUGACUGUUAUAUCUUCAGAUCUCACCUACUUGUUAAAUACAAUCACAUCUGUCAGCUUAUUCAAAUCUCGGAAGCACUGACCACUCCUUACUUCCUGAAAAUCACUCUUCUUUUGUUUUUGAUGACAUCUCAUUCUCCUGGUUUCUCUUAUACAUUUCUUCUACUAAUUUUUAC